GAUGAACGCUAGCGGCAGGCCUAACACAUGCAAGUCGAGGGGCAGCACAGGUAGCAAUACUGGGUGGCGACCGGCGGAUGGGUGCGUAACGCGUAUGCAACCUACCAUUGAUUGGGGCAUAGCCCGAAGAAAUUCGGAUUAAUACUCCAUAAUAUUCAUCAAAGGCAUCUUUUAUGAAUUAAAGCUUUUGCGAUCAAUGAUGGGCAUGCGUGACAUUAGUUAGUUGGUGAGGUAACGGCUCACCAAAACGAUGAUGUCUAGGGGUUCUGAGAGGAUUAUCCCCCAACUGGUACUGAGACACGGACCAGACUCCUACGGGAGGCAGCAGUGAGGAAUAUUGGUCAAUGGACGCAAGUCUGAACCAGCCAUGCCGCGUGCAGGAUGACGGCCCUAUGGGUUGUAAACUGCUUUUCCACGGGAAGAACCCUCCGACGUGUCGGAGACUGACGGUACCGUGGGAAUAAGCAUCGGCUAACUCCGUG
This 482-nucleotide ribosomal RNA is filed under the name uncultured bacterium. RNAcentral describes it as "bacterial SSU rRNA". It matches the Rfam family "Bacterial small subunit ribosomal RNA", at positions 28 to 507 of the family's 1533-position model. The record is from RNAcentral.